This is a long non-coding RNA of Drosophila pseudoobscura, 2487 nucleotides long. RefSeq lists it as uncharacterized. Lineage: Eukaryota; Metazoa; Arthropoda; Insecta; Diptera; Drosophilidae. The transcript is spliced from 3 exons. The record is from RefSeq and is a predicted model, not a curated record.
UUAGUAUCUCGGACUGGACCUGGACUGCCACUACAGUGAACAUUGAACAGUGAACAGUGAACAGUGAACCGAGCCGAACCUGGACUGAACUGGACCUGAGUCGAGGGAAAGUCGGUGGGAGAACAAAGUGAAAUGCAUACAUCGCAUAUAAGUAGGCAAUCAAAUCGACGCUAAAACAUCAAAGUGCCAAGGCCUUUCAUUUCGUGUCGACUCCAACUCCAACUCGAGCCGAAGGACACCAAAACGAGCUAUCGACCUGCAAGCGGCAUCUGAGGCACGUAGUAAAAGCCAAAUGGCCAUAAAAGGGUCCGGCGAUUGCUGUGAAAUAUGAUGCGCAGUCCUCAAAUACUAAUUAGCUUUGGCAGUCGGGCCCAGAGUGCAGCUAGUGUUGAUGAUACGAGCUACCCAUAGAUACGAGUGCAUACUUCUGUAUCCUAAGUAUAUAAAUACUCGCACGGCGCGGCAAGGCAAGGCACGGCAAGGCAGCAGCCAACCAACCAACCUAUGUGCACAAAUCCGCCAGUGUGGCUGCUGCUGGAGUGGCUAACAAAUUGUGAAAACAAAUUACUGUCAUAAAUGUCAGCAUUACAAACUGACAACAAUCAAUACAUCAAUCUCAACCUGUUGUCAACUCAAACAAAACCACAGCAGCAGCAGCAGCAACAACAAAAACAACAACAACAACAAUAAAUUAUGACAGUUUUAAAGAUACAGAAAAAAGUCCACACAUACGAUACGAGCGACUCCUGUCGCUCCUGUCUUUACAAUUAUACUCGUAAGCCUACAUCAGCUGGCGUCUCUCCCAGUCCAGACAGUCGGACAGUCGAACAUCUCACAGCAAUGUGACAAUGACAAAACAGAAAAAAAAAAAAAAUAAUAAUAAAAAACGCCAACUGUUCCGUCCCGAGCAGAUCGCAAGCAUUUAAUGAAAUCAAGCCUUAGACCGAGAUACACGAAGAUAAAAAUCCAGCUGGAAAAAGCUGUACAACUAAAUGAUUACAAAAAUCUAAAUUGAAUUUCGCCAUAAGUUGAAUCAAUGGCCAACUCUCUGGGCAGCUAAUCCAAACAUGAAAUAUGCCGGAAUAACCCAGUAGUCUCCAGUCAGCAGUCGCUCAGCAGCGCUCAACUGUAUAAAUUCUAAGGUAAACGCAUAAUCUGUAAGGCAGCAAAAAAUGAGCCCCAAGAGCCCCAAGCCAAUAGUAGGGGACUUGGGUGAUGCUCUACAAGGGACACUAAAGAACAGCCUAGGCAUAUUAUUUUCCCACAAUCGUGUCGUUCAUCAAAUCGAAUCUAUUUAAAGAUUUUGCCAAAGAGGCUUUAAAGAGGAUGACUAACAAUUUCCGUAAUUAAAUGGUAAUAGACAACGACAAUACCAGGCAUGCGAAAAAGGUAGAGAAACAAAGCUACAUUGGGUGCUGCCUGUAACGGUGCGGCAGCGAGAUUAUCCAAGAGAGGAAUAGGCGACAGGAGAUGGGAGAUGGGAGUUAGGAGAGAGAUGAGCCCGCGCCUAGACUAGAGAGGAGCUUGGCAAUCAAUAACUUAAAUUACAAAGUAAUUGCACAGGCAUUCACAGCACGCUGUAGCAGCUUCGCUUUGCUUCCAGCAGGCAGCAGGCAGCAGGCAGAAGGCAGCAGGCAGAAAGAGAACUCAUCGUCAUCAGUAUCAGAUUCAGCAUCAGCUUCAGUUUCAGCUUCAGCACCCAGUACCCAGCACCUGAGGCUUUCAGCACUCCACUCCAGUCCACUCCACUCGCGGCGCUCCGUCCUUCUGGCUAUGGCUCUGUCCGCCUCUGGCUGUCGUCACAAAUGUUACACUUGAUGGUAAUGAUGAUGGACAGAUUGGUACCAAAGUCACUCAAAAAGCGUUGCCGUUGCCAGCUCCGAUUCCGAUACCAAGACGAGACUGCGACUUCGACUGCGACUGCAACUGCGACAGAAGCCAAGCCUUAGCCCCAGGCUCAGGCUCAGGCUGAGGCUCAGGCUGAAGAGUGAGACUGAGGCCAGGCCAAUCCGGUAGCCAGUCUGUCAAUUGAAUUACAAGCUGGCCGAGCAAAUGCUUUUUGAUCAUCACAGCCACUGACUGCGAGAGCAGAGCCCAGUCCCAGUCCCAGCCGACCCAGUCCCAGUCUCGACCGGGGUCUAAAAUUAAAUAUUGCGCAUGCGCAUGCGCACAGCACAGCACAGCGCAGCACCCAGUGGUAAAAUCAGUCAACGCAUAUAUGGUAUAAUCUAAAUUUAAGUGUUGACACAUUCGACUGUUGCUGACCAACUGAAAUCGAUACCAAAAGCUGUGAACCCAGUUUUGUACACACGGUGCGAUUAGUACAAGUGAAUUUGAUGGAUUACUCGCAAGAAGAGCGGAGAGUUUGAGGUGAAAGCUCAUCGAGAUCUAAUGAUUGUAGUAAUUAAAAUUAUUUGACGUUGAACAUAUCAAUUUCAUUGAAUAAGUGUACAAAUAUAUGGACAAUCCUCCUGGUAGAUAACAACC